This 754-nucleotide ribosomal RNA is filed under the name uncultured bacterium. RNAcentral describes it as "bacterial SSU rRNA". It matches the Rfam family "Bacterial small subunit ribosomal RNA", at positions 8 to 796 of the family's 1533-position model. The record is from RNAcentral.
AGAGUUUGAUCAUGGCUCAGAACGAACGCUGGCGGCAGGCUUAACACAUGCAAGUCGAACGAGAAGCCUUCCUUCGGGAAGGUGGAAAGUGGCAGACGGGUGAGUAACGCGUGGGAAUCUACCCAGUGGUACGGAAUAACUCAGGGAAACUUGGGCUAAUACCGUAUGUGCCCGAAAGGGGAAAGAUUUAUCGCCAUUGGAUGAGCCCGCGUCUGAUUAGCUUGUUGGUGAGGUAAUGGCUCACCAAGGCAACGAUCAGUAGCUGGUCUGAGAGGAUGAUCAGCCACACUGGGACUGAGACACGGCCCAGACUCCUACGGGAGGCAGCAGUGGGGAAUAUUGGACAAUGGGCGAAAGCCUGAUCCAGCCAUGCCGCGUGAGUGAUGAAGGCCCUAGGGUUGUAAAGCUCUUUCGGCGGGGACGAUAAUGACGGUACCCGCAGAAGAAGCCCCGGCUAACUUCGUGCCAGCAGCCGCGGUAAUACAGGGGGUGCAAGCGUUGUUCGGAAUCACUGGGCGUAAAGGGAGCGUAGGCGGAACUACAAGACAGGGGUCAAAUCUCCGGGCCCAACCUGGAACUUGCCUUUGUGACUGUGGUUCUUGAGUAUGGUAGAGGUCAGCGGAAUUUCCGGUGUAGCGGUGGAAUGCGUAGAGAUCGGAAAGAACACCAGAGGCGAAGGCGGCUGACUGGACCAAUACUGACGCUGAGGCUCGAAAGCGUGGGGAGCAAACAGGAUUAGAUACCCUAGUAGUCC